GAAAAAAAAAAAAGAGAAGCAAGGUGAUGGCUGCAAAACCAAUUAGAUCAGUCGUAGAACAUUAUUAGCAAAUUAAGAUGAGAAAAUAACUAGAUGAAACAAGCACAUGCUGCACAUAAUUCCACUUUUUCUGUUAAUGUUUGUUAGAGUCAUGACUGUUGGUUCUCUCUUCGCAAAGUAUAAUUUACACGUGGUCAUAACCUGAAAAUACUUCUUCAGCCCCA
This 224-nucleotide unclassified non-coding RNA is filed under the name Hevea brasiliensis (rubber tree). The record is from RNAcentral. Lineage: Eukaryota; Viridiplantae; Streptophyta; Magnoliopsida; Malpighiales; Euphorbiaceae.